This 497-nucleotide ribosomal RNA is filed under the name uncultured bacterium. RNAcentral's name for it is "partial 16S ribosomal RNA". It matches the Rfam family "Bacterial small subunit ribosomal RNA", at positions 28 to 507 of the family's 1533-position model. The record is from RNAcentral.
GAUGAACGCUGGCGGCGUGCCUAAUACAUGCAAGUCGAGCGAACGGACGAGAAGCUUGCUUCUCUGAUGUUAGCGGCGGACGAGUGAGUAACCCGUGGAUAACCUACCUAUAAGACUGGGAUGACUUCGGGAGACCGUAGCUCAUAUCGGAUAAUAUUUUGAACCGCAUGGUUCAUAGGUGAACGACGUUCUUGCUGUCCCUUAUAGAUGGAUCCGCGCUGCAUUAGCUAGUUGGUAAGGUAUCGGCUUACCAAGGCAACGAUGCAUAGCCGACCUGAGAGGGGGAUCGGCCACACUGGAACUGAGACACGGUCCAGACUCCUACGGGAGGCAGCAGUAGGGAAUCUUCCGCAAUGGGCGAAAGCCUGACCGAGCAACGCCGCGUGAGUGAUGAAGGUCUUCGGAUCGUAAAACUCUGUUAUUGGGGAAGAAAAUAUGUGUAAGUAACUGUGCACAUCUUGACGGUACCCAAUGAGAAAGCCACGGCUAACUACGUG